UACGUAGGGGGCGAGCGUUAUCCGGAUUUACUGGGCGUAAAGGGGGCGUAGGCGGCUUGUCAAGUCGGACGUGAAAUCUCCCGGCUUAACUGGGAGGGUGCAUUCGAUACUGAUGGGCUAGAGUGCAGCAGAGGGAAGUGGAAUUCCCGGUGUAGUGGUGAUAUGCGUAGAUAUCGGGAGGAACACUAGUGGCGAAGGCGGCUUCCUGGGCUGUUACUGACGCUGAGGCCCGAAGGCGUGGGGAGCAAACAGGAUUAGAUACCCCCGUA
This 269-nucleotide ribosomal RNA is filed under the name uncultured prokaryote. Its description in RNAcentral is "partial 16S ribosomal RNA". It matches the Rfam family "Bacterial small subunit ribosomal RNA", at positions 524 to 792 of the family's 1533-position model. The record is from RNAcentral.